Molecule: long non-coding RNA, 18894 nt
Filed under: Lactuca sativa (garden lettuce)
Lineage: Eukaryota; Viridiplantae; Streptophyta; Magnoliopsida; Asterales; Asteraceae
Description: long non-coding RNA (LSAT_LNC000191)
Source: RNAcentral
AAAGAGGAAGUGUAGAGCAAAGAUCCAAGGCCAAAGUCAGAGUUCAUUGAGGUAUGUCUCGGAAUUAUUCUGUUUUGUGCUUAAAACCUCCAUUAGAACACCUCUAAGGCUAGUUUAAUGUAUUUUCCAAGCUUUAUAGUUGUAUGGAUGCCUUGUUGGGUCGAGAUAUCCCUAGAUCUGUUCAUUUAGGAGUUUUAGAGCCCUGAUCUAGUGCCUUUUCGAAGUUUCUUUGCUUGAGAACCCUAGAUCUAGCCUUUAUUAUGCUUUUUGAGCCUUUUAAUCUUCAUGGGUGCAUAUGGGCACGUAAAGAUAGAAUCUUUACGUGUUAAUCGAGCUUAGGGAGCCCAGAUCUAUAAGUUUUAUGCGUUGGAUUCAAGCAGAAUCGAGUUUAUAGUAGCUGCAUGCAUGCGACUCGGCGAGUCGUUCUUCCGACUCGGUGAGUCGAGUCGUGAGUCCCCGAUUUUUCCUCUUUUGAGUAAUGCCGAGUGGGGACCAGUGAGUAGUAGAGUGGACUUAGUGAGCUGGAGGUCAGACUCAGUAAUGGAGGGACUCGACGAGUUGUUCAUACAACUCGGCGAGUCCAAGGCAAUCUUCUUAGCUCAAGAACAACUCGUCGAGUUGUUCAUACGACUCGGCGAGUCGGAUGCAGAUAGCUUGAGUUCUAGAAUCGAAAGGAAACUCGUCGAGUUUAUGCCAUACUCGACGAGUAGCAGCGAGUAGGGUUGAGAAGUGAGAAUAGGGACUAGGCGAGUUGGCGGCCCAACUCGGCGAGUCAGGUCAACUGUAGGUUGACUUUGACCAGGAGAGUUGACUUUGACCAGGGGUAAAAGAAUCAUUUUACCCCAAUACAGUGAUUAGUAUUUGAUUGAGUGUGUUUAUGGAAUUGUAGCCGGAGAGAUACCAGAGCAGCAGCAGAUAGCUUCCAGAGCCAUACAUUCAGCAGCCAGUUUACGAGGUGAGUUUCCUACCAGUAGGAACGGGUCUACGACAACAAUGCCGGCCCGUUUAGCUAGCAGUUAGUUCCGGACUUCGGUCCGAAGCAGUAGUUCAAGGUGCUUGAUGUUGUGUUUCGGGCAUGUCUAUGUGUUAUGUUAGCAGAUACGUGUUUAUGUUAUGCUAUGUUCAGACAGUUCCGGAUUUCGGUCCGAUGCAGCUAGUUCCGGACUCCGGUCCGAUGCAGGGGACAAGGUCCCAGUCAGUUCCGGAUUUCGGUCCGAUGCAGACAGUUUCGGACUUCGGUCCGAUGCAGUCAAUUCCAGACUUCGGUCCGAUGCAGUGGGCAAGGCCCAGUAUGUGCUUUAUUUGUUAUUGUGUGGUAUGCGGUAGUUUAGGGGAGCUCACUAAGCUUCGUGCUUACAGUUUCAGUUUUGGUUUCAGGUACUUCCGCAAGUAAAGGGAAGAACUCGGGAUGAUGCAUCGCACACACCACAACUUCAGUUUUUGUCGUGGGAGUUGAUUCAGUUUCUUAGAUAUGUUUUGAUACUGUUGUGACACAUUUUUUCUCACAGUAUUUUAUUAUGUGAUACUCAGUUUUAUGAUCUUUGUUAUAAUAUAAAUGAAAUUAUCGGGUCGUAUUUUUGGGAUGUUUCAAGUACCUUGUGCCACCGAUUAAAAAAAUUUUAAAAACCGAUUGAAAUAUAACUGAAAAAGACAUACAGCUUAACGAAAAACUAGUUGAUUAUUAGUCCAUUGAUAAAGCGGCGAACGCAGAGUGAGAGUCUUUGGCAUGUGGGCUUUCAUUUUAUUAGAACAACUUGUUUAUUUAUUAAUAUUUUGAGAGUGCCGAUUAAGAGUAGUUAACUUUUUAUUAUCAAUCUCAUAAUUUAAAAUAACAAAUUGUCCCUAAUAACUUAUAUUUUUCUCUUUUUAAAGUGGUUUUUUUUUUUAAAAAUAAAAAUAAAAAUAAACUCAAUGUAGGUUCUCUAUUUUUUUAAGACUAAAUUACACAGAUGGUCCCUGUGGUUGGCACGAGAGACCAAAGAUAGUCCUUAUGAGGAAUUUUGGACUUGUAUGGUCCCCGUGGUUCCAAAUUGUUGCACGAAGAGUCCUUAUGACAUACUCCGUUUAAUUGUUGUCGUUUAUUUAAAUCACGUAACCCUCACACGAGGGUAUUUUGGUCUUUUGCUUAUCCCUUCUCUCUCUCAUAUCUUUAUAUGAUCUGCAAAAGAUUUCCCUUCCCUAUAAAAAUUAAACCCCCAUCACUUCCUUCAUUAUUUUUCGUCUCCUCUAUUCUCUCUUCUCUCUUCUCUCUGCUGUGUCUUUCUAAGAAACUUUGCUUAAGAAUGGUAAAUUGUUUUUGUGGAACGCAAGCGGUGAUAGUGACAUCAUGGAUGGAUCUCAACCCAGGUUGUAUGUUUUGGAAAUGUCCUAGCAGUUGCGGUUUCAUUGCCUGGUUUGAUGAGCCGAUGUGUCGAAGGGUUGUGGCUGUCAUUCCAGGUUUGCUAAGAUCCAUGAACAAGCUUCAAGAAUCUCUGCUGCAAGCAAGUUUUGAAGCAAAAAAAGUGAAGAUGAUGCUAGUUUUUAGUUGGGUUUUCUUUUUCAUGUAUGUGUAUAAAAGAUGCUAAUAGUAUUAGUCUGGAGAUGAUGGUUCUUUUGCUUGUGGGUAGAUGAUGGUUCUUUUGCUUGUGGUUAGAAUCAGAUAAUAGUAUUAAUUUGAAGAUGAUUUCGUUUUGUUUGUUUGUGAUGCAAGAAAUGUUCGUAUGUAUGAAUGGAAUGCUUUUUAUUUGGGAAACUUUUAGUCUGCUACCAUUGUAAAAUAUUGGUCAGGAACUUAAUGAGUGUAAAAUAUUGGUCUGCAACUUAAUGAACCGUGCAGAUCCAUUAAAGUAUAAAAUAUGAAAGUGAAAGGUUUUUGUAGGCUUUAGACCAUUGUAGAGCCAUAACAACAUUAGAAAUGUUCAAAAAUAAAAUGCAAACUUUUGCAUAGUCAUAAAGUUCAUUACAUAACCUUAAAGUGCAAAGUCAUAAUACCAAAAAAAUAUCAAAAGAGCUUGCAGACUAAUGUAUCAUAACCAAAAGAACCAUCUUAGUCUAGCACCCUGUGUGAACCAUAAUACCAACAAAAGAUAAAGACACACAAUAACCAACUUAGUCUGACCUUUCUAAGGUACCAAAACAAACAACACAAAAGACCUUUCUAAGGUUCCAUAACAAACAACACAAAAGACAACAAAUCAAACUUUUUCCUUCAUUUUGGAUUUAUCCUUAAGUUUGGUUUUCUCCUUCAUUUUGGGUUUCUCCUUUUUUCCAUCUCCCUGCUUCUUUGCCUUGCUAAGCUUCUUGCCCCCUGCCACCACAUUUCUAACUUCAGUUUGUCCCCCUUGUCCCUUGCAACUCCUAGAGUUGUGACCCUUGUUAUUGCAUUUGCUACAAGUAACUGUAAGGAACUUCUUGGUCAAACUUUUACCUUGAUUAUUUGGUUCUUCAGUUUGAGCUCUCUUUCUCUUCUUUUUUGGUCUCCCCACCUGCAUAAUUAAUAAAUUAUAAAACAGUAUAAACGUAUACUAACUUGUAAAUUGAAAAUUAUUUACCUGUUUAGUAUGCUUAGGAGGUGUUAGUGUUAUGGGGAAAUCUGACUUUGGCCACAUACUUCUUCCAUUGAUAGGUUGAACUUUGUACUUGUACAUUUCAUUCCAUGUGCUUAACCUAUAACAUGGAUGUACCCACUCCUCAAGAGGUGGGACAUUUUUUCCCAGUGCCUGCAACUACAAUUCCUGUCCCUCCAAUUAACCACAAAUUGUUCCCCCAUUGUCCCAGUAACUUGAGUCUUAUCAGCACCAUUAAAUAUGCAAGUGUAUUGAGAAGCAUCUUUCUUAACUCCAUCUAAAAGUUUUGUGGCUGGGGGGGGGAGAGGGGCNUUAUCUAUCACAUUUUGCACAAUACAAAUUCGUUUCAUUAAGUAUUCCCUAAUAUAUUCUAAACAUGUAAUUAUAGGUUUGUCUCGAGCAUCUAACAACUUUGAGAUGAAAACUUCACAUAAAUUAUUCAACAAAAUAUCUGUAUGUGCUCUUCCUGUACAAUGCAACAAAAUAUCUUAUAAGAAUCUGUCAAAGUGUAAAUCUUCCUUGAAUCUGUCAAAGUGUCUAACUGUUGUUGCUGUUGCACAUUCCCAUAAAUGAUCUCUGUGCUCCUUCCCCCUCCAUUGUAGCUUCAUGUUUUCGUGAAUAUGUCUUAAACAGAACCUGUGUUCAGCGCUAGGUAAUAGGUUGGCAAUGGCAGAUAAAAUCCCCUAAUUAACAAGUAACAAAAAUGUUAUUUUCUAAAUGUAGUAGACAAAAUUACAAAGAUGUCAUGAACAAGUAUCAUAAGAAGAUUAACCUUUUGCCUGUCAGAAAUAAAUGUGAAGUUUGAAUUUGUAGAGAGCUCCAAAUCUUCACCUAGACACUCUAGAAACCAACUCCAUGAGCUUUUGUUCUCGGCUUCAACUAUGGCAUAUGCUAGUGGGUAGAUCCGAUUAUUGGAAUCAAGACCCACAACAGUGAGAACCUAUCCAGUGUAAGGUCCCUUCAUGAAAGCCCCAUCGAAACCUAAAAAAUCUCUUAAACCUGCCUUAAAACCCAGUUUUAAUGCACCUAAACAGACAUAAAUUCUCUUAAACAUCCUAGUUUCCAAGUCUGCAUUUGGUUCACUGUAUACAUCAAUCUUCACAAUUGUUCCUGGGUUGCACUGUUGUAAUUCUAAUACGUAAUCCCUGAGAAGGCUGUAUUGCUUUUGAUAAUCUCCAUAAACAUGUUUCUGUGCAAGUUGUUUAGCCCUAAAGACCUUCAUUCUUGACAUCCCCACCUCGUAUAUCUUUUGUAACUCUACACACAAAGCUUUGACUGGGAUAGUUGGGUUUCCUUCCACUUCUUGAAGAAUGAUGGUUGUAAGAAACUUAGGCCUCAUUUGAUAGUUGCCGAUUGAGAAAGUGCUGACUGAGAAAGGUCUGUCUGGGUAAGAAAUCCUGAUUGGGUAAGAAAUCCUGUUGUUUGAUUGUACAUCUGACUGAAUGUGCUGAGUGAUGAAAAAUGACCAUUUUACCCUGCUGUUAUAUAUAUAUAUUGAUGGAUUAAAUUGCUGAAUAAUUAUAAAAACAUACAUAUUGUCAUACAAAAUGUAAAUUACACACAAAUAAAAAAUGUCAUACAAAAUGUAAAUUAAACAUAAAUCAUUUAAUAUCCAAAUAAAAACAUAAUGAAAUUUAAAAUAACAUAAUAAUUUAAUGUAAAGUAGGUGAAAGUAGUCGAUUUGCAAUCUGAUCACGCAAAACACGCAUAUAUUCAACGGCUUCUGGACCCCAUUCUAUGCCUUGUAUGUUUUCUCUAUCAAUUCCCCCACCUUGGACGUCAGGAGUAACCAUAGUGUCCUCCUCAAAAUUUCUAAACAAGUCAUCUUCUAUAUUGUAUUUCCUUAUAAAAUUAUGGACCGCGACACAAGCAAUGACUAUGUCUCUUUGCACUGUAAAAGGAUAAGGAGCCAUUUGUUUUAAGAUUGGGAAUCUCGCCUUCAAUACACCAUAAGCACGCUCAAUAACAUUUCUAAGUUGUGCAUGAGCAUGAUUGAACCUUUCUUCUCUAGUUAAAGGUCUGCCUCUUCGAAAAUCGGCUAACCAAUACCUAGUAUUGCGGUAUGGAGCCAUAAACCCACGAGUGUUUGUAUAUGCGGCAUCACAAAGGUAAUAUUUAUCUGCAAACGAAUGUGACAUAUUAUAUAAUGACACAUAUUAUAUAAAGAAGAUAGAUAAUAAAAAUUAUAUAAAGAUUACAAACCUGGUGGAGGAAAUGGAAAUCCAGAAGUCGAAUUGAAUGCAACUUCUUUCAAAACUCUUGAAUCAUGUGCUAUACCCUCCCAUCCAGCCCAAACAAAGGUGAAUAUCAUAUCAAAAUCACAAAUUCCUAUUACAUUUUGAAAACAUUCUCCUUUUCCUCUUCCUCAAUAACGAGUUUGUUGAUCAACAGGUACAACCGCACGUACAAGAGUUCCAUCUAAUGCACCAAUUGCUCCGGAAAAAAUAUUUUUUAACCGUCUAUGUCGUUCUGAGUUAUGUCUUGUUGGGUUAGGAGUUGUUGGUACUAUAAUUUCUUUUGCAAAACACAUCAUUGCUGUUAGGACCUCGUGAAAACAUUGAUGAAUCGUUUGUGUGGAGUGAUGAAAUCUUCCCUUAACCGCGCGAAAACGUUCAUUAUGUCCUAUAACAUGUAAGAAGAUAGCCAUCUUCUCUUCAAUGCUUAUUGUCCUACUAGCUUGCAACCAAUUUUUUUGGGUAAAAUGGUUGCAUAGUAAUGCAAAUGCCUCUUGUGUAAGACGCAUCAUAUCGAAACAUUGUGUAGGGUCUCCGUAUAUCAAAUCUUAUGUAUACGCAUACCCGCUUGAAUCGUUAUCUCUAAUUCUAAGAAUUCUGAUUAGUCUGCGCCGGUUUGACCUCAACCAAUAAAACACAAGUAAAAGAAAAGCUACAACUUCACCAUCAGAAACCAUACUUGAUCUAUUACAAACAAUUAGGUAAUAUGUUAAAGUAAAAAAAAAAUCAUGCACCAAAAAAAUUAGUAAACAUCAUUAAAAGUAACAAAAGUCGUAUAACAAACGUUGUAUAACAAAAUACUAGUAAACAUCAUCCAAAAAAGUCAUCAAACUAUAUAACAGUAAACCAAAAAGUCAUCAAACAUAGGAUCCAAAAAACUAGUAAACAUCAUCCAAAAAAAGUCAUCAAACAUAGGAUCCAAAAAACUAGUAAACAUCAUAAAAAAAACUAGUAUCCAAACUUUUCUACCCGCACCUAUCAAAGGUAACUAUACUUCCUACCCGCACCCAUCACCCACGACUCACAACUACUAUGCGAAAGUCGUAACCAAACUUUUCGAACAUCAGCACUUUCACCAAAUAGCAAAAGAGCGGUCUUGUGUCUUUCAUCUUCUUCUCCCCAUUCCAUUUUGUUCAAUUUCUCCAUACACGCAUCAACAUCCUUAUCCAUUUCACUUUUUUCAAUUCUUUCAUUUUUUUUCCACUAAUAACCUUACAAUCUUGACAAUCUCCUCUUCAACUUCUAAUGCCCUUGCAUCUCUUUUUUUUCCACCAACUCUUUUGUUUCCACCAACUUCCUUAUUUUUGAACGCCCCGAAGAUUCUUCACUUGCACCUACGUGUUGUGUUGAGGUUUCCAUUAGAACAUCAUCAUCAAAAUCAUGGGGACUAAACUCUUCUACAGGACAAGGGAGUGUAGAAGAUGGCCCCCAACUUUGAGAUCCGGUUGAUGUCAACCCUUCAAAUAGUUGGGUGCAAAGAUCAGGGAACAAUAGGGGUUUAGUUUUCAAUGACAACACGAACUUGUUCAACUGUUUACAAUUUUUAUAAAUAUUAGUAUAUGUUAUAAAAAUAAUCAUAAUAGUAUUGAUUAAAAAAAUAAAUUUAAUCAAAUAGUAUAUGUUAUAAAAAUAAUCAUAAUAGUAUUGAUUAAAAAAAUAUUACCUUCCCCUCUUCUUUCCAUUGUUCAUCGGUCAAAUUAAAUUUAUUUUUUAUAGGAUCAUAUAUAUUGCCGGUUUUGUUUUUGAGUUUCACCCAAGCAACAUACUUUGAUUUGUAGUAGUCAAAGUGGUUUCUCAUUUGCUUCUGAUCAACCUCUUUACCGUGUUCGUUUAUCAAUUUUUCGCGUAUUGUCUUCCAUGAACUUGCCUUAAGCCCAGAACCCUCACGACCAUUAGUGGUUAGUUCAUGGAUACAUGCAUCAAGAAAAGUUUUGUCCUCACUCUCGUUCCAAACCAACAUCCUAAAACAUUAAUAUUUAAAGUAAUUUAUCAUAGUUUUUAUCAAGUUAAAGAACAAUUUUAAACAUAAAGCAAUUUUCAACCAAGGAAGUUAACAUCAUCCUAAAUUAUGAUUUGAUAACUUAUACACAAACAAUUUCAGAUGUCACAAAACAUCAAUAUUCAAGCUAACAAUUUCACAAAAGAUAACAAGCUAACAAUUAAGGUCAACAAUAUCAAAGCUAUAAAAUUAGAAAGAAAAAAAAAACAGCCCAAUUUUUGAUUUUAUAGCUUAUACUUUUGAUACUAAUACAAGCUCAAUAAUUGGAAGACAUGUGAUGUUGCAUGCAUUCCCCCUCUCGCCCACUCUUCAAGGAACAAUUGGAUUAUUAAAAAAGUUAGGUUACCAUUAAUCUUAUAAUAAUUAUUUAUUAUUAAUUUUACUUUUGUACUUUACACAUAAAAACACAACNAAAACCAAAAAAAUAAAAAAAAAAAAAAAAAAAAAAAAACAGCCCAAUUUUUGAUUUACAAACCUACUUGUAUUUUCCAAUUCACAUUCAAUUUCAAUUCACAAGCUAUAAAAUCAAAAUUCAAAAAAAAAACCUUCCAAUUCACUUUCAAUUUCAAUUCAUAAGCUAUAAAAUAUGAACCGGAGAAAAAAACUUCCAAUGUGAAUUGGAGAAAAAAACUUCAAAUUCAGAAAAAAAAACAAAAAAACAAAAACAAAAAACAACUACCAAUUCACAUUCUAUUUUAGAAUUCAUAACAUUAGAAAAAAAAACCUUCAAUUUUCAGUUCUUAUACACAAAGAACUACAAAACAAAACAUAAACAAACUUCCAAUUCACAUAUAAUUUCGAAAUUCAUAUAUUAGAACAAACAAUUUCAGAUUUCAGUUCUUGUACACAAAGAACUACAAAAAAGAACAAAAAAAGCUUAUCAUAUGAACAUACAGGUUGAGAAUUCAUAAUAUUCUAACAUAUACUAAUUUGAUUUCAUAAAGAACUACAAAUUUCAUACCAUCAAAGCAUAAAUGGUAUCUGAUUUUGAAAAUUAUUAACAGAAAAAUUAUCUAACCUGUGUGAUGGAUCGAGAAGGCGUCACUGAUGGCGGUGGCGGAGGUCCGACGAGAUGGCACAGGUCCGACUGGUCGGACUGUUUGGCGUUCAAUGUUGUGGAGUUCUUCCUAGCGGCUGCUGUGCUUUUAGGUCACUAGAAGGGAAGCGAAUGGGGAAAGAAAUAAUAACGACGCAGGGGCAAGAUAAGGGCAAGAUUGUCUAAUUUCCAGUCAGCAACUGUUUAAAAACUGAUCCAGAAAGCGAUUUGGGUCAGCAGAUCUUACCGAGAAAGCUCAAAUCAAACACCAAAGGUCUGACCGAGUCAGCCCAAUUUGCUGACUCGACCCAGUCAGACAUUUAUCAAACACUCCCUUAGAAGUGCACUCUUUAAUAGACCUUGACUGCACACAUCUAUGCUCAUGAACCAAAGUUUUCACCAUCCAAUCGCUUUCUUCAUCAGAUCUAGAAAUUAAUACCACCCAAGGGCAUGUUGCUUUUUGUGAGCUGACUGUUUUAUCCUUGCAUUUGAUUCUACUUUUUGUCCAUGGCCCACCUGUCAUUUUCGGGACCACACCCCUGCAUUUUGCCCUAAUUCUUUUUUUUUUAUCAUUUUUUGAAAAGUAAAUGUUUCUCCUAGUUCGAAUUGAAUGCAUUUUAAUGUAGUCCUUCACUUCUGAUGAGGACUUAAAUAUUUGACCCAGAUGGAAUGCAGUUUCAUGUACUACUCCUGAUGAACAUGUGGUUGGUUUGUUUAACCUUCUCAUUAAUUUCUUCCUCUCAUCUUCUUCUACACCAGUUGAUUCAAAUAAUUGUGUAUCUAUCACCUCCAAAUCCUCAUCAACUGUGACAUCAGGUGCAUUGAAUGAUUGGUGGUUAUCUAGAUUUGGAAAAGAAUAAACACCACUGUGGAAGUCUUUCAUAUUCACUUCGACAUCCUCCACCAUAUUAAGUUCAUCCACUAAAAAGUCACUAUCGUCGCUUAUACUUCCAUCGGUACUAGUCUCAUCACUAAUAACAUCUCCAAUUUCUUCAUUUUCCCCCAUCUGUUGGUAAUCAUUAUGAUCCAUAUAAAAGAAAGGAUCAAAGUCUUCUGAAGGGACAACAUCUUGGGCUUUGUUAAGCUCCUCACUUGCAGGAUGAACUCGAACAUCUUUCACUACAUCUCUAUCAAAAUGUCCAAAAGGUACAACAGACCUAGAAAAGUCAUAGUUCUCAUUCAAGUCCAUUUUUCUACUACAUGAUCCUACCUUUGUACUUGUAAACUUUUUUCGAUUGAGUUCCGGAGAAAUAGGCUCAUUGAUUUCUUCCGAUACGACCUUAUUUGGAGAUAUAAAGUAUGCAUGGAGUCUAGUAGUUCCAUGUUCAGUAUACACCAUAAUCUCUUUAUGAUUAGCAACAUGCUUACUUAACAAAAGUACGUCUGAGUUGUUACCUAAAGGAAGUAACCCAUAAUCGAUUUCAAUCUCAGGAAUCAAGAAGUGGUAGUAGAUAGGCUCACCGUUGAUAUAACCUAUCUCCUUCAUCAUAUCGUCUAACUCAUGUACGGAAAACACGUCCAUGUCUACGUAGUCAACAUAGUCAAUACUCCCACCAACGUAACGUCUUCCUGGGUAUUUUGUGAACAUACCCCCAUGGUGAAUCUUGAAUGUGCAAAAACUACUUAACUCAACUGAAAAACAAAUAAAUAAUGAUAUGAGGAAAGAAUGAAGUCUCAAAAUUGAAUGUGCAUAAAUUACUUAACAAAAUUGAAAGUUGUUAACUGAUCACUCACCAUAAGCUUUGAUCAGGUCAGGAUUUUCUGAGAAUUUUGAACGGACAUUCCACAAAGUUAGAACGAUCGCAAAAGAUGAAAAUGAAAACCCUAGUUUCCGUUUGAUGUUUUGAAGUGAUGAAGAUGAAAAACCAGAGGAGAAAAGAAAGGGAUGAUUUCUUGGGGUAAUGUAAAUGGCAGCUAGAUGUAAGGAUCAUUUAUGAAUAUGAUCAUUUCGUGUAACAAAGCAAAAGACCAAAAUACCCUCGUGUGAGGGUCACGUGAUUUAGAUAAACGGAAACAAUUAAACGGAGUAUGUCAUAAGGACUAUUCGUGCAACAAUUUGGAACCAUAGGGACCAUACUCGUCCAAAAUUCCUCAUAAGGACUAUCUUUGGUCUCUUGUGCCAACCACAGGGACCAUCUGUGUAAUUUUGUCUUUUUUUAAAGAUAGUUCAUAAUUUUUCUAUUAUAUACAUUGUAAAUGAAAUUGAGAACUUAAGUAGGUCCUAGGACCUACCUAAGCACAUGGUGGAUACGCCCCUGUUACCCACACUAACCUCAUACACUUACAACACAAAUGAACUUGAACGGUCUAAGACCAAACCAAGAUAUAAUAUGAAAUGUGUAAGUAUAGUUUAAUAGAUGAAAGUGAGGUGUUGUUUGGGCUUGAAAAGUAGGGGUGAGCAUGGUGCGAUUUUUUGAGAAAACCGAACCGCAAACCGCAAGAUGCGGUUUCUAUAGGGUAAAACCGAUAGGUGUGGUUUUUGUUUCGGCGUGGUUUUACAUGCAUUUUCGGUGUCAUUCGAUGCGGUUUCGGUUUUUAACUGAAAAUAUGUGUUGGUGUGAUUUUUCAUACAUGUGUUGAUCUACCAAAGAAGUAAUAACCCCUAAAGAAGCUAGAGCAAGGCCUAAUUGAAAAUGAAGCCAAUUAUUAAUUGUGUCAUAAAGACCCUCAUGCCCACGUCUCAAUCGCCCUCUUGGAGGGAUAUGUGCAUCUAAAAGAUCUUUCAUACUGUGCCCAAUCCCAAAAUUAGUUCUAUACAUAUGCCCAACAAUAAGAAAAAGAAAUGCAAUAGCUAAAUAAUGAUGAGUCAUAUCAGCAUGUCCAAACCCGACUUUUCAGUUAACUUUCCUUUAUUUCCGGUACAGAUUCUCAUUUAAAUGUAUUUAACAUGCUUGUGAAAUAGUUAUAUGUUAUUCUUAUCAAAAUAUAGACUUCUUUAUGAUAUUACGAUUUUGAGAUUUGAAUUAUAUGUUUGAUGCAACAAGGGAUUUGGUUUUAUAAUCUCAAAUUCCAUUACUUAAUCAUUAUUGUUUAUACAGAUAGAGGCGGCUUUUGAUUCGAAUUGCAUUUUGCUUGUGAUAAGCAAAAGGAAAAUUGUUAAUGGUACGCACUUUGAUACAAAUGUCAAAUUUUAUAAAAAUAUAGCAAAACAUAAGGCAUGCACAGUGGCAAAAAGAACUGAAGAGGUCGAAGUUGAACAAAAUAUACUUUUAUUAAUAAGUAUUAUAAUAUAUUAAAUAUUGUCAGGUUUUUAUGGUGCUGUUUGGCAUUGUCCAAACCGCACCACACCGAAAAAUUACCAAUUAAGGUUGGAUUGGAAUGCAUAAUUAUCAAUUUAUCCUUAAUAAGUCAUAAAUCAACAAAAAUGGCCCAACAAUUUUCUUAAUCUUAAUUGUUGCCUUUGGAUUAGAAAUCAUCAACGAUCAAGAUUGGUUCUCACAAUUCUCUAAUCUCUACUUUUAUGUUGUUUUCAUUUGAACUCAACCCAAAAAUCUCACCAGUAAUCACCACACGAACAAAUCCCGUUCUUGAAAUGAUGAAACCUAUUUGUAUCCCGAAGAAUAAUUUCCCGCUCAACAAUCUUGGAAAUAAGCUUAGCAGCAAUAUGACAAUCCUCACAAACACGUAGAUUUUUAGUAAUCCGUAUAGGCGUAAAAGCUUUAGUAUUUAUAAUCACAAACACAAUAGCAAGCUUCUCACUAUGAACAGCAAGAUGAUUUCCUUUAUCUUCAUCUUCUAUAUCAUGAAGUGCAGAAUCCACUUCAGGAACAUACCCAAAAUCCCUCAUCUUCCCCACAAGUACUUCCAACUCUUGAUAAAUCUGUUUAGAUUGUGGAUGGGAUUGAUCUCCAGCAAGAAACGAAUGAACUUGAUUAUUAAGCUCAACAUUACUAACACCGGGCUCUUUUUUCACUCCUUUUGAUUUCAUUAUUGAACGAAUAUUUGUCACAUCUUUAAAUCUACCUGCUUUUGCGUAUAUAUUUGAUAAUAAAACAUAAUACCCUGCUUGUUCAGGGACCAAUUCAAAGAGAUGAUCUGCUGCUACAAGACCAAUUUCCAUGUUGGAAUGAACUUUACAAGCACUUAACAAAGCACCCCAGAUUCUAUCGUUUGGUUUUGUUUUCAUUUUCUUUAUAAAAUCAUAAGCUUCAUUGAUUCUUCCUGAUCUUCCUAGCAAAUCAACCAUGCACGCCAAGUGUUCGAGUCUUGGAAUGAUGUUAUACUCUUCGGUCAUCAAUUUGAAGAAAUGUUUUCCUUGGUUUAGUAAUCCGGCAUGGCUGCAGGCUGAUAGAACUGGAACGAAGGAAAUGGAAUCAGGGGCGAUUCCGGAAUUUUGCAUAUUUGAAAAGACUGUGAUAGCAGUUUCACCAUCUCCAGUCAUGCCAUAAGCAGAGACCAUGGAAGUCCAGGAGACGACAUCUCUUGUUGGCAUUUCAUCGAACACCUUGCGUGCUUCGUUUAAAGACCCACAUUUAGCAUACAUGUCAAUCAAGGCGUUCUCUACUGUUAGAUUAGGAAGAAGCCUUUUUGUUUUUACAUAUGAAUGAAUCUUUCUUCCUAGUAAUAAAGCUGAAAGAUCUCCACAAGCGGGUAGGAUGCUAGCAACUGUGAUUGAAUCCGGGUCGAUUCCGUAAUUCUCCAUUUGUUGAUAAAGAUUAACUGCAUCUUUAGGCAUCGAGUUGUUGACGUACACAGCUAUCAUGACAUUCCAAGAAAUUAAACUCUCUCGAGCGUGAUUCAUGAACAUUUCUUUCAUAAACAUCACGUUGGUAGAUGAAGUAGAAGUUGUUAAAGCAGGGGAAAGGCUGGCCAUGGUGCCUGCGUUGGGUUUUGAGGUAGAACAUUGCAUCAUUGUCUUACAAAUCUCCAAUGCAUCUUCAAACAUCCGGUUUUGGGCGUAGGCAGCAACCAUAGCAUUCCAGGAGACGAUAUCUCUACUAGGCAUUUCAUCAAACACCUGGCGUCCUUCCAGUAACCGGUUACAUUUUCCAUACAUUGUAAUCAAUCCAUUCCCUACAUAAAGAUUUGAAUGCAGACCCUUCUUGAGAACAGCAACAUGGGUUUGUAAUCCGACCCACAAAUUCUCAGACACGGAACAUGCUUUUAGAACUUGAGGAACUGUAAAAUGAUCAGGGUUAAUGUUGAACUUGAACAUGUUUCUGUACAUACGAAGUGCUUUUUCGUAGAAUUCAUUGUUUACGUAGCUUCUAAUCAUCACAUUGAAGAAGACUACAUCUUUUUGAGGAAAUUCAUCAAACAGUUGGCGGGUAACUGCGAUUUGGCGACAUUCAGAAUAAGCUUUCAUUAAUUUCAGAGCAAUAUGCGAUGCUGAGACGAGGUUUCCAUCAAUAAUUAACCUACAAUGUAUCUUUUUCAAUUGUUUGAUAUCUGGGCACUUGUCCAAGAUUUUGAUACACAAGUCUUCUGUGAUUAACAUGAUUGUUAAGGCGAGAUUUGAAUGAAUUUGAACUUAUAUUCCUUUCGCCAUGUUGUACCUGAGGGGCAAUCAAAUAGAAUGGACGAAGAUAACGAAGGUUUACUUGGUGGUGUUCACUUAAAAACAAGAAAUAUGAAGUUCUAAACGCUAUUUCUUGUUAAACAGAAAAUAUUUUGUCCAAUCUAAAAAUCCAAUUUUUGAGUAAGUUCAAGCUUAAGCUCAAAAAUAGUAAGCAAAACAUGUUUAAAAAAUAAAAGUUCGUUUGAAACUCUUUGGAUAGCUCGAGUAUAACAAUCAUCAUAAUUAUAGUCAAUAAAUCAGGCUCAAACAACCAAACUUGAUGUCCAGCCCUUGAUCAUCCAAUUGCCAACUGAAAUCAACUUAGUUUCCGGUUUUAGAAUCGCCCUAACAUUACAUAAGCACCAACUAGUUCCAAAAGUAGUUUUUAAUUCAAUGUCUCCCAUACCCGUGACUUCAAGGGUUUCCAUGUUACCCAACCUUACCAACUUAAGAUAAGUUCUUUACUUCAAUUACUAUAACAGAUCGAUGAGUCAUGUUCUAAUGACCUCUCGUCAUAUGAUGCAAUGCUUAGACUCGAGUCUUUUAAAGUCAAAUUCUAUAAUGAAAUAUACAUUCCUUCAAGUUUCUAAUGUGAUAUAAUCACAUUCUAGCAUGUAUCACUUCUAGCUACAAGCUUCUUACUUUAACAACAAUCACAAUACUUCUAUUGAUCGCUUUGAUUAUCUUUCAGUUCAAUCUUCUGGCUUAAGUCAGAUGCUACAUCGAUCUUGGUUCUCUGAACCACGUACAAUACUUAUCCUAGCUGUAAUCGAUUUGAUAUGACCACUAGGGUCGGAAUAACAAUCAUCUUCUUAGUCAUUACCGAAAUUAUGGUAAUGACACAUGAACAAAACAGAAUCAAUUACUAGCGUCUUGGUAACUCGUGACUUUCCCUGAUCCAAGUGCGAGUCGUGUGCUUCCAGUAGUAUAUGCCUCUACUACCUUUCACACCUACUCAUACUUGUCCCAAGUAUUGUCUUUCAGUUCUCCAAGUCACCAUAAAAGAAUUUCACAUAGUCAUUUAACACAUCGAAUAACAAAACUAAGGUUUAUAUUAUUUCUUGAAACGAUUACAUAGAUAUUCAAGUUCACCUUAUACCAUGCCUUUUAUAUUAGGCUACACCACAUGAUACUAUCUAUAUGGCUACUUUAUAUCUCGAUCUUCAGAUAUAUAUAGAUCCCUACUCCUAAUCCCUUGUAUCGUCACCUGCUUCAUCCAGGUUAGACUUCGAGAAUCUUCCUUUCUUAUCGAAUCUUGAGGAUCCCUCAAGCUUCUUCUUUUCUCAUGCCUUGUCUUAUUCCAGACCCUUUUUCCUAAAUUAGGUUUCCAUAUUCUUGGUUGCUCUAACGGUUGUCUUCAAAGUAGUUGCCAUUUUUACCAUUGCGCCAAAUUAUGCUGGCAAUCCGUUAGCAAAACUAUCUAUCUUGGAGAGUUCAGUAGCACCAAGUAGGGGAAUAACUUCAUCUGCUCGGUGAAUACGGUGACAUACUCAUCAACACUCAUCUUCCUUUUCUUCAAGUUCGAAACUCGUUGUUUAGGUCUAUCAGAUCUAUCUCUGAGCAGUAUUGCAUUUUCAACUGCUCCAUGAAUGCUUCCCACCUCAGGGCUUCUCCCCCAUGGCUUUGUAUCUGCCAAUAACUUCCACCAACUUAAAACUCUGGUCUUUAGUUGUCUGACUGUAAAGACGGUUUUCUGCUUGUUGCUGCAAUUGCAACUUUCAAAUGUCAUCUCUAUCUCGGAGAUCCAAUCCAUGAUCUCUACUGGCUUCGGGCUUCCAGAAAGACUUGGUGGUUUGGCACCUAAGAAGUUCUUAUACAUACGUUCAUCCUUAUCAAUCGCUUUUUUCGGGUCGUUCCUCCUUGCCACUCGGGGUUCAGCUUGACUCACUGUACGACUGUAAUUUCCCUCCUCCGACAAUUCUUCAUUCAGUUCGGGUUGCACGAUAGGCACAAUAGGUUCAUCCCUAUUAUCAAGAAACAUUUUUCUCAUCUCCUCCCUUUGUUCGGCCAUCAUAGCCCAAAUCAUUGCUUAGACUCUUGCCAUCGUGAUUGGCUCGGGUGCAGCUACUACCUCUGGUGCACAUUUAAUCACUCGUGGUUCAGGCUGUUAGUUUUCAUUAGCAUUUUCUAAUAUGUUGCGAGUUCUCACCAUUUCGAUCUAUACACUCUAGAGAUGUUCAGUGUACAGUGACGAGAAUUAAGAUAUGGAAAGCUUUAUUUACGACAGCCAUAUAAAUCUUCUUAUCACUCGUAAAAGUUAUAUACUAGUUCUAAUACCGUAAUUAAAUGUUUGGAAAUUUUGAGCAAAUGACGGUUCAUCAACAAUAGAGCGAAUCUCAUUUAGGAAUUCGUUGAUAGGUCGAUUUCCUUUAGGAUUUUUAGCAAGUUUGGAUUUUAAAGAGAUGAUUCUUGAGCAGGAGGUGCUGGCAUAGCUUGUGUUGAGAUGCUUUCAUGCUUCUUUUGUGGUAAAUACAGAGGUAAUGAUAGGUUGAAUGAAUUGCAUCUGAGCAUGAACCAAGAAUUGCAUCGAAUACUACAUGAUCUUGGCGAUAGCAAGUCGUGUAUUCAUGAUUAGGUUUGGAUUUGUCUUUGUCGAUAAUGAAUUUUGUGGUAGGAUCAGUCACCCAUGUGAUGUAAUCUUCCAGACCUAGUCCAAUAAAUGUGGACUGCACUUGUCGCCUCCAUACAUGGAAGUUGUUGGUGAGUAAUUUGGUAGGAAAGUGACUUGAGGCGGUGAUUUGUAUUUGGGAUGAUUGUGUCAUGGUGAUGUUGAUGAAAAGGAUUAGAGGAGAAAGGCAAGAUGAUCGAUUGACUCUUUAGAGUGUGUGUGCUCUGAUACGAUAUGAGAUUUGAGAAUCAAUGGGCUCGAAUGAAUAAUUUCAUUUACAAAGAUCGAUACAUAUAUAGAUGGUAACGAGAGUUAAAGAGCUAUACAUGGAAUUUACUAAGAAUAGAUUGCAAUUACAUACAAAUAGAAGAGAUUAUUGUAGAUUAGUCAUGAAGAUGUGUACGAUGUUAUAGUUAGAUUGCUUAUUUGCAAUCCAUGUUAGCUAAGUAUGUCAUGUUGAAUACAAAUUGUAUUAAAACAUUAAAGUUCCAACCAUUAUAUGUUGAAGAAGAAGCAAAUACGCCUUAGUCACACCCAUUCUAAAUGAUAUGGAUGUUAUGGUUGUCGUUUCUAUGCAACCAAAUCGUGAUUCCAAGUUGCAGUUGUCUUACCAAUAUAUCAUGUUAGGAAAAGAUGACAUAGCAUGAAAUAUUGUAUGUUACAACAAAAAGAUAUAUCUUAUAGAUGUCUUGCACAUGGGUUAUUCCUUUUUAAGCACUUAUAUAAAAAUAAUAUCACGUAUGUAUGAUAUCUAUUUUGAGAGAUUUUUAGCAAGCAACUCUUUGUCUAUUAUUGUUAUUGGAUAGAAAAAGUAUCAUCUUCGUUGGGAAGAUUUUACUAGGAUUAGAUUCAUAAUAGUUUGUCAAAGAUUUUACUAUUAUGUAUUUAUAAACCCAUGAAGUUUUCUAUUAAAUAAAUAAAUAAAUAACCAUUCACCAUUUAUAUCUUUUUGGAAUAGAGUUUGUUAAAUUCUAAUAUAAAUAAAAAGAGUAUUUAUUUAGAUUCACACAUUACAAAAUUACAAACUCCAAGCAUAAAUCCGAAACUUAUUUUUAAACUUCUUCAUUUAUAUUACAAGUUUUAUUCUUUUUUCCCAACCCACUUGGGGUUUCGAAACCCUAAAAAAGUUCUAUCCAUGGAAGUUCAUAUUUAUUUCUUAUCUUAAUGAAUUUAAGGUCUAAAUCAAUAAAUGGCAAUGUAGAAUUAACCGCAUAUAUUAAGUUAUUUUUGGAAGCUUUCCAACACAACACAGAAAGGAAAUGAUGAGAAUUUAUGGUACCAAAUAACAAAAUAAUCCCGGUUCCUAUAAAAAUUUAUUAAAGCUCUACUCAUGAUUUCAUAAUCUCCUCUAAUAUGAGGGUUACGUUAUUGUAAUAAUAACUAUGAUAAUGUAAAAGCCAUAACAUAAAUCGUCUUAAUUUAAGAAAUAAUAUAAAUCCCAAGAUAUUGUUUUUAAAAUAAAAAGGAAAAAAGUGGGAGUCCAUUAGAAGGAGCCAAGCUGAUUAUUUGAGCCAAGAGAGCACCGAUUUGUUAUCCUUCCACUGUUCGAAGCGAGAGGUUAUCGCAGCUCUGUGAAGCCAGCCUAACGCAUUGCCCUCUGCUCUAGGAACCAAGAAGCCCAAGCCUUCGCUCAAGCCACUUGAUCCAACUCCGAACUUGGAACGGGCAAACCAGAUUUUGCAACAGCUUUGACCCAACCAAACAAGGCUCGAUCUCAGUCCAUCCCACUUUAGAGCCCUCACUUGAGUCACAAGCUCGCGUUACCAAGCUCGGCGAUAAACGAAGUCCAUUUGAUGUAUAAAUAAUCGGAAAAACUUUCUCCUCCAAGCGAUGUGGGAUGCGAAACGAAAUAUUUUCAUCUUCAUUCUCUCUUUAUCUCUGUCAAAUACUGUGAUUACUGAUUACUGACUACUUAAACACCCAUGCAACGGAUUUCAAGUAUUUUUUUCAAUCCAUGGAUUUAGAACUGUAAACU